AGCAGCCGCGGUAAUUCCAGCUCCAAUAGCGUAUAUUAAAGUUGUUGCAGUUAAAAAGCUCGUAGUUGAAUUUCGGGAUCAGUAGGUCGGUCAUGCCUCAGGUAUGUACUGGUCUCACUGGUUCCUCCUUCCUGAUGAACCGUAAUGCCAUUAAUUUGGUGUUGCGGGGAAACUGGACUGUUACUUUGAAAAAAUUAGAGUGUUUAAAGCAGGCUAACGCUUGAAUACAUUAGCAUGGAAUAAUGAAAUAGGACGUUCGAUCCUAUUUUGUUGGUUUCUAGGAUUGACGUAAUGAUUAAUAGGGAUAGUUGGGGGCAUUAGUAUUCAAUUGUGAGAGGUGAAAUUCUUGGAUUUAUUGAAGACUAACUACUGCGAAAGCAUUUGCCAGGAUGUUUUCAUUAAUCAAGAACGAAAGUUAGGGAUCGAAGACGAUCAGAUACCGUCGUAGUCUUAACCAUAAACUAUAGCCGACUAGGGAUCGGAUGAUGUUAUUUUUAAUGUACUCUAUUCGGCGCCGUUA
RNAcentral lists this ribosomal RNA (520 nucleotides) under uncultured Glomus. RNAcentral's name for it is "SSU rRNA". It matches the Rfam family "Eukaryotic small subunit ribosomal RNA", at positions 569 to 1091 of the family's 1831-position model. The record is from RNAcentral. Lineage: Eukaryota; Fungi; Glomeromycota; Glomeromycetes; Glomerales; Glomeraceae.